CCAUCAACAAUAGUCUUUGUCAUCCCAGUUUGGGAAAGAUCCAUCCCAGUUUGACAGAAUUUGGAUUAGUAGCAUCAAGCUCACUAGAUUGAUUCUGUUGCAUAAUGGUUCUUAAAUCAUCCAUACCAAAUUCAUCCAAAACAGAUUUGGGCACAGAAAAAUCUGUUUCAUCAAACACAACAUGUAUAGAUUCUUCAACUGCAAGCAAUCUUUUGUUAUACACUCUAUAAGCAUGACCAUUUAUA
Molecule: long non-coding RNA, 245 nt
Filed under: Phaseolus vulgaris (common bean)
Lineage: Eukaryota; Viridiplantae; Streptophyta; Magnoliopsida; Fabales; Fabaceae
Description: long non-coding RNA (PVUL_LNC004006)
Source: RNAcentral